RNAcentral lists this ribosomal RNA (376 nucleotides) under uncultured bacterium. Its description in RNAcentral is "bacterial SSU rRNA". It matches the Rfam family "Bacterial small subunit ribosomal RNA", at positions 524 to 898 of the family's 1533-position model. The record is from RNAcentral.
GACGGAGGGUGCAAGCGUUGCUCGGAAUCAUUGGGCGUAAAGGGUGCGUAGGCGGCUUCUUAAGUCUGACGUGAAAGCCCAGGGCUCAGCCUUGGAAGUGCGUUAGAAACUGAGAAGCUUGAGUGCCGGAGGGGAGAGUGGAAUUCCUGGUGUAGCGGUGAAAUGCGUAGAUAUCAGGAGGAAUACCGGUGGCGAAAGCGACUCUCUGGACGGCAACUGACGCUGAGGCACGAAAGCGUGGGUAGCAAACAGGAUUAGAUACCCUGGUAGUCCACGCUGUAAACGAUGGACACUAGGUGUCGGGGGUAUCCACUCCCUCGGUGCCGCCGCUAACGCAUUAAGUGUCCCGCCUGGGAAGUACGGCCGCAAGGUUAAA